This 3071-nucleotide long non-coding RNA is filed under the name Mus musculus (house mouse). Its description in RNAcentral is "long non-coding RNA chr1:180376443-180379514". Lineage: Eukaryota; Metazoa; Chordata; Mammalia; Rodentia; Muridae. The record is from RNAcentral.
AGAAAGCCUCUGAGCUAGCCAUUCCUUCAGAUAUCUUUUACUUACUGUUUGACACAGAGUUGUGAUAAUUUUCCCAGGCUAGCCUCGAACUCUACUCCAUAGCCUUGACUUUAUAAUCUUUCUUCCUAAACCUCUGAAGUAGUUAGGUUUACAGGCUUGAGCCAUUAGGUUUUGCUCCAAAUCCUGCCCUUUUAGGAGGGCUGGAUCAUAUUUCCUUGUAUGUCUAUGCCGCAUUCUGUUACCCAAUCAUCUGUCAUCGGACUCUUGGUCUGCUUCAUAUUUGAACUAUUGUCAGAAGCAAGUCUGGAUGUGCUUAAAAUGGAGACCUGAUGCCCCUGACUCCCGUGAGGUAGACAAGUUGAAUAGACUGUGUGAGUGAGCUUGGUGUGCGAACGUGCCUGAGCAUCUGUCUUUCUCAGUUGAUGUAAAUAGUUGGAGUGUGAAAGCCCUGUUUUAUAUCUGAAGAAAUUCUCCUUACCCAUUGUGCUGUCAGAGACUUGAUGUAAAGGUAAACAGGAGGCGCAUGCUUGACGUAGGACAGGCCAUGUUCAGCUCUGGGUCAGGUUUCCCACUGGGGCCUCCUCCGAGUCAAUCCUCCUCCUGGAUCAUCAGCUUGCUUCAGGAUGCUGCCCGGGUGUGCUGAGCACCAACACGCGAAUUUCACAUCCCCAGCCCAGUGGCAUCGCCACCGUCUCUUGCUUAUGUGAUUCUGGCCAAGACAUUUUAACGUCCUCCAUUUUAAGAAGGUUUGAGGGGUGUAUAAUAAGUGUAACAUACCAAAAUGUAUUGCCCAGUACCUGGCUUAUGGUAUAUGUUCUCUUUUCCUUCCUUGCCAGGAAAGGCCUUGUUCAAUUACUACAGGGGCCUCCACCCGGCCUACCACAGUGCCUGGCACACAGAGGCAGCUGCCGGCUGAAUGCUUAUUAACUUUAUCCUGCACAACACUAAGCAGGGCAAAGACUGUUCUGUGGCAGCUCCUUCCAAAGAGGUUUUAAGCAAACACAACACCCCUGGAAUAUGCGCAGGGCUUGGGAGGGGAGGUACUUUGAAGAGAGGCUUGUUUGGAUGGGUAAAUUCUGGCUUUUUUUUUUUUUUAAGAAAACCCUAACGUUGGCCUCAUUACUUUUGAGGCAGUCAUUCACUGCCUCUUUGUCUGUGUGUAGAGUGCUCUUAAGAAAUUACUGGCUAGACCUUUAAAAAUAGGCCAGUUGUCAGAUGUCUUGGCAAGAGGAUGUAUCCCAGUGGUGUUAGGAUUUUUCCUGAAGUUAAACAUCUCUCCUUGGAGAGGGUUGUUUUUAUCAUCAGCUGCUAAAAAUUCUCAGGAGGUCACAGAACAAACUCAGUUCCAAGGGAAGGUCAUGGAAUCUACUAGAUUUAAGUAAAGGGUUAGUGGGGGACAGGGCUUGAGUUUUGUUGGAGGGCCACUGAAUGGCUGUGGGUGAGAAAAAGAGAUGUUGAAGACAUUCUCAUGGUUCUGCGCCAUCACAGAGUCCCCAUCCUCCUGGAUUUGGUUUGAGCAAGGAAAGUCAUACUGGCCUCUGUAGGUAGCUUGUGGCUCUGACAGGUGAACAGGAUUGUUGAUGGGAGUCAAAGGACACGCAGUUUGAUCAUGAAGAUCGUUCCAUCUGUGUCAGAGCCCCGCCUUGGAUUAGCAAGCAGCAGUAGCACAUCUGAGGGUCUCAGCAGCCCUGUGGCCAUAGCUGCCCUUAGGAUGCUGUUAGGAUGAACACCAUUAGCAUCAAGUAGGACCAGCCAGUUCAUGCAUGGUUGACAUAAUGAUGGAGAGUUUCCCUUUUCUCCACCUGGCCCACAUUACCAGAUAACGCUAAGAGCAGCACAAUUCAGGUGACACUUCUAAACAAGAGAGUGUUCCACACUGGGCCUCGGAGACACUCUGGAGAGCAGUUCCCGGGAAUGCUGUCUAUUUCAGCUUUGGAUUUCUAGAACUAGCUCGGCAACUGUCACAUGUAGGGGGCUGUGGUGGAAAGGGCCUGUGCCAGCAUCCCAGAACUCUCAAGGGCUGUAGGGAUCUUCUGUCACAAUAUUAUCACUGGCCAGGUUUGUUACUUUGGAGGAACUUAACAUCAGAAGUGUGACCCAUUAGGAACCUUGAGCCCUUUCUUUUCACCUUUAUUUGAACUUGUACCCAAGACUAGCUAUUGGCUUCCAGUGUUUGUAUGAAAACAGAACAAAAAGAAAAGAAACCCUGGGGUCUUUGGGGGCUUUCUCCAGGUUCAUUCAUUUGUUUUGUUAAAAACAAGGAUCAUAAGCUGGGAGAUGGCUCGGUUGGUAAGAGUGUUUGCCACAAAAGCAUGAGGACCUGGGCUGGAUCCUCAGCCCCCAACGUAAAAAGCCACAUGUGGCAGGCACGUGCCCCUGCUGACUGACCAGCCUGGCUCAAGGAGACUUGGGCUGGGAGAUAGCUUAGAGUUUAAGAACACAGGACCCAGGUUCAGCUCCCAGCAUUUGCAUCCUGUGACUUACAGCUAACUAUAGCUCCAGCUCCAGGAGGACCGGAUACCUCUGGCCUCCAUGGCACCUUCACUCCAUGUAUGCAUCUAGACACACACAUACACAAUUUAAAAACAAUAAAAAUAAAUCUUGAGGAAAGUAACAAGGUGGAAAGUGAUUGGGGAAGAGACCUGACACUGACCUCUGACCUCCAUGACUGAGUACUGACCUCUGACCUUCAUGACUACUGACCUCUGACCUCCAUAAGUACCUGCACACAUGCAUCUCACCCACUUACACAAGUGCACACACAUAAUAUCACACAGUGUCCAAUUAAAGCAGAUUUAAUGUGCUAGUUGAAAAUAAAUACAGAGUGCAGCUUCACAAGUCAGUCAGUAAAGGAGACACCCCUGAGCCUGACAACCUGAGUUGGAUCCCCUGAGUCCAUGCAGGAGAAGGAAAGAAAGAACAAAUUGCCCUCUGCGGACGCCCACACAGGUACAUACACAUAUAAAAUAAAUGUUAAGAAGUUAUUAAGAACUCUUUAAAAAAUCUACUCUCCAUGGAUGCCUCUUAUAUGUUACUUAUGCCUUAUAAGAUGUGAAUGGCUAAUACAUACC